RNAcentral lists this long non-coding RNA (815 nucleotides) under Nicotiana benthamiana. RNAcentral's name for it is "long non-coding RNA (NBEN_LNC025525)". The record is from RNAcentral. Lineage: Eukaryota; Viridiplantae; Streptophyta; Magnoliopsida; Solanales; Solanaceae.
UUAUUUGCAUCUUGAAAAAUUGCUCCACUAUAUCUUGUUUUUUCUUAUGCUUUUCUUCAUAUUCUUGUAAGGAUCCCAUUAAUUGAUCAGUUGACAUCUCCUACAAAUUUUUAGUUUCUUCAAUUGUUAUGACAAUAUGCUUGAAUUUGGAAGUUAAUGACCGGAGUAUCUUCUCAAUAAUUCUAACAUCUUCCAAUUUUUCACCAUUUCUUUUCAUUUGAUUUGAAACCACCAAAACUCUUGAAAAAUAGUCAGAAAUGGACUCCCCUUCUUCCAUAUGUAAAGACUCAAAUUCUCCUCUUAAUGUUUGGAGACGUACCUCUUUACUUGCUCAGCACCUUUGCAAGAUGUUUGGAGUUUCUCCCACGCUUCCUUAGCAGUGGUUGCACUUGAGAUCUUCUCGAACCCAAUUUCAUCCAAUGCUUGGUAGAUGAGGUAGAGAGCUUUCUUGUCUCUCUUUCUUGAAUCCUUCACACCAUCCUUUUGAGUUUGGGAUAAUGUAGAUUCAUCUAGGGGUUCAUUGUAGCCUUUCUCUUCAAUAUCCCAAACAUCAUGUGCACCUAUGAGAGCCUUCAUCUUGAUACUCCAAUUAUCAUAGUUGCUCUUGUUGAGCAUAGGAAUUUGGAAGGAUGCAACACCAUUUGCCAUGAUUUUAGAAAUUUUUGGUUAGAAUCUUGUGGCUCUAAUACCACUUUGUUGGAAGAGGAUUGCUAUAAAUAUUUGGAGGGAGGCUUUUAGGCUAAGGGAAUUUUGGAACAGUAGAAAGAUUUUGGGGAAGAGAAACUUUUAUUACUCAAACUUAUUUUUGAUUUUUU